ACCCGAGAUAGCUCAGUCGGUAGAGCAUGAGACUCUUCAUCUAAGAGACGUGGGUUCCAGCCCCUGUUGGGCA
Molecule: non-coding RNA, 73 nt
Organism: Podarcis lilfordi (Lilford's wall lizard)
Lineage: Eukaryota; Metazoa; Chordata; Lepidosauria; Squamata; Lacertidae
Source: the annotation of a GenBank genome assembly